UACGGGGGGAGCAAGCGUUGUUCGGAUUUACUGGGCGUAAAGGGCGCGUAGGCGGCGCAACAAGUCACUUGUGAAAUCUCCGGGCUUAACCCGGAGCGGCCAAGUGAUACUGUCGUGCUAGAGUGCGGAAGGGGCUACUGGAAUUCUCGGUGUGGCGGUGAAAUGCGUAGAUAUCGAGAGGAACACCUGCGGCGAAGGCGGGUAGCUGGGCCGACACUGACGCUGAUGCGCGAAAGCCAGGGGAGCGAACGGG
This 253-nucleotide ribosomal RNA is filed under the name uncultured bacterium. RNAcentral describes it as "partial 16S ribosomal RNA". It matches the Rfam family "Bacterial small subunit ribosomal RNA", at positions 524 to 776 of the family's 1533-position model. The record is from RNAcentral.